GACGAAAGAUGGAGGAGGGCGGAACACAUGCAAGUCGAACGGAAAGGCCCUGCUUUUGUGGGGUGCUCGAGUGGCGAACGGGUGAGUAACACGUGAGUAACCUGCCCUUGACUUUGGGAUAACUUCAGGAAACUGGGGCUAAUACCGGAUAGGAGCUCCUGCUGCAUGGUGGGGGUUGGAAAGUUUCGGCGGUUGGGGAUGGACUCGCGGCUUAUCAGCUUGUUGGUGGGGUAGUGGCUUACCAAGGCUUUGACGGGUAGCCGGCCUGAGAGGGUGACCGGCCACAUUGGGACUGAGAUACGGCCCAGACUCCUACGGGAGGCAGCAGUGGGGAAUAUUGCACAAUGGGCGGAAGCCUGAUGCAGCAACGCCGCGUGCGGGAUGACGGCCUUCGGGUUGUAAACCGCUUUCGCCUGUGACGAAGCGUGAGUGACGGUAAUGGGUAAAGAAGCACCGGCUAACUACGUG
Molecule: ribosomal RNA, 468 nt
Filed under: uncultured bacterium
Lineage: Bacteria
Description: partial 16S ribosomal RNA
Rfam family: Bacterial small subunit ribosomal RNA
Source: RNAcentral